Molecule: ribosomal RNA, 449 nt
Filed under: uncultured bacterium
Lineage: Bacteria
Description: partial 16S ribosomal RNA
Rfam family: Bacterial small subunit ribosomal RNA
Source: RNAcentral
CCUACGGGGUGCAGCAGUGGGGAAUAUUGGGCAAUGGAGGCAACUCUGACCCAGCAAUGCCGCGUGAGUGAUGAAGGUACUUUUAUUGUAAAGCUCUUUUCUUUGGAACGAAUAAAUGACGGUACCAAAGAAAUAAGCCCCGGCUAACUACGUGCCAGCAGCCGCGGUAAUACGUAGGGGGCAAGCGUUGUUCGGAAUGACUGGGCGUAAAGGGUGUGUAGGUGGUUUGAUAAGUUAGAUGUGUAAUACCCAGGGCUUAACUCGGGUGCUGCAUCUAAAACUGUUAGACUUGAGUACUGGAGAGGAUAGGGGAAUUCCUAGUGUAGGGGUGGAAUGCGUAGAUAUUAGGAGGAACAUCAGUGGCGAAGGCGACUAUCUGGACAGCAACUGCCACUGACAUUGAUGCUCGAAAGUGUGGGUAUCAAACAGGAUUAGAUACCCUUGUAGUC